GUCUUCGUGGCGCAGUUGGCUAGCGCGUCAGUCUCAUAAUCUGAAGGUCGUGAGUUCGAGCCUCACCGAGGACA
This 74-nucleotide transfer RNA is filed under the name Trichoderma reesei QM6a. Its description in RNAcentral is "tRNA-Met (CAT) (tRNA-Met-CAT-1 1 to 3)". It matches the Rfam family "tRNA". From Rfam's summary of the family: Transfer RNA (tRNA) molecules are approximately 80 nucleotides in length. Their secondary structure includes four short double-helical elements and three loops (D, anti-codon, and T loops). RNAcentral also lists the same sequence under 3 other names. The record is from RNAcentral. Lineage: Eukaryota; Fungi; Ascomycota; Sordariomycetes; Hypocreales; Hypocreaceae.